UUGCUGCCACUUCCUUUGUCCUGAAUAUGGAGGGGAAACAGAAGAUAAGCAAUCUAUAGUUGAUCCAGGGGCCAGGAAUUGGGGGCUCACCAGGAACCUUGGGUACUACUGAGACUUGUUAAGCCAAGAGGAAGAAAGGAGCUGAGUUUUGGAUGGCUGACAACAGGAGUGGAGUAUUUGCUUACUGUGAAGAUCAGCAGGACCAAAUGUAAAAGGAAUGAAACAAAAACUACUGACUGCCCCCUGCAAAAAAAGAAGCUGAAAAAGAGCAUGGAGCCUUCAUGGGCCGGACGCUAGGCCAAGUUUUGUGCUCCCUUCUGAUGGCCCUGAGGGACUUUGAUAAAGCCAGAAGCACCACAUGGAGCAAUGCCUCUGCAUUCUCCUUGUAUCUCAGCCUUCUAAUCUGCAAAGAAAUGACCUUCGUCUGGAUUGAAGAUAUUUGCAGCUGCAAUAAUGUGUAAUUCUUUCUCUGAAGAAACAAGAUAUUUUCCUAUUGCUGAAUGUGCAGAGCUGGGUCACAGUACUAUAACCUGGACAUAUCUGUGCCUGCAUUUGAUGUCCUGCUGGAUCACCUCCUUGCCUCUCUUACUCAACUCCAAAUGCUGAGGAGACUGCUGUAUCCCAGCACUGCAGCACUGCUAAAUUUUUUUUUUUUUGGAAGUACUGGAUUGAACUGAGGGGUGCUCUACCACUGAGCUACAUCUCAAGAUCUUUUUAUUUUUUUAUUUUAAGACAGGGUUUUGCUAAGUUGUGGAGGCUGAACUUGAGCUCAUGAUCCUCUUGCCUCAGUCACACUUCUUGGGAUUCUAAGCAUGUGCUUGGAACACUGCUGAGUAUCAUCAUCAUCAUUAUUAUUUUUUUUGAGAGAGAGAGAGAAUUUUUUAAUAUUUAUUUUUUAGUUUUCGGUGGACACAAUAUCUUUAUUUUAUUUUUAUGUGGUGCUGAGGAUCGAACCCAGCGCCCCGCGCAUGCCAGGCAAGCGCGCUACCACUUGAGCCACAUCCCCAGCCCCCUGAGUUUUUAAAUGUAAGUUUUAUUUUAAAAGAAUCUCAAACUUGCAGAAAUAUAAUGACAAUGUAAAGAGCUUUUCCCUCUGAAACUUCAUGGGGGAAAGAACCUUUUCUAGUUUACUAAUAAAAGGACACAAAGUCACCUGUUAAUUUGGCCUUCUUCCAUGAAGAAUACCUUCUCAGUCUUUCCUUGAUACCUUUGAAAGGUUAUUAUAUUCUAGGAUCUCCUUGAAUUUGUAUUUGUCUAAUGCACAUAUGAGGAAGGCAUCCUGGUACAAGUGAUAUCCCAUAACAGAAGCAGGUUCUUGAUUCUCUCUUGGUUUGAGUUCCUUGGCCUCAGUAAGUGGACACAUUCCACAUCUACUGGAAGCCCAGUUUCGGGUUAUUUUUCUCUGCAGACCUCCAAUUGCUUUGUUCUCCUUCCUGAGAACUAGUUAAGCUUGAUAAAAGGAACCUCUGUUUACUGGGUGCUGUGCCAACUGUUUAGUCCCUCCCAACUUCUGAAGUAGUAACAAUUAGAACUUUGAGAACUAAGGGACAGAAGUGUCCCUGAAAUGAACACAUUUAUCCAUCAGUUUAUAAUUCAGGGGCAUCGUUGAAAGUGUGGGAUGGGACAGGGGACGAGAGACCCAUGAGACUUGAUAUGAGUUCCUUGGCCAUUUGGAUUCCAGGAACGACUAUAAUUGGCAAUUCUGUUUCCUAGCACCCACCUUCCCUUCCAGUAAAUUUCCUUGAGCCACUCAUAAAAGAAUUUUGCCAGAUGCCAGAAAGAAAAUUCCUGUUUUUUCAAAUGAUGAAAUAUGUACAUUGAUGCUUGAUCCUGUUUCUGAUUUAUGGAUGCAUUAAUCAUUUAUGGGUGAAUGAGUGAAGAAAAGCUGUUUUUUUUUUUUUAAUCCACAACUUUUUUUCAGAGCACUCAAAAGGAAGAUAUAGCCUAAUACCAGAUAGCAACUCUAUUGUGUUCUUCUUGGUUUCUUCCCUGGCUAAAUGAUGAUGUCAAAUGCCAUACAAGAAUCAGGCACCUGGACAGAGGUAUUCUGAGAAGGCUGAACUCUGCCAAAGCUCAGUGGGCAGAGAAACUCUUUCCAGAGAGGCUACCAUUAGCCCCUACUGUUCCUGGACAACACAAAGCUUUAGAAAGAGGCAGCUACCCUCAAAACAUCUGGGAGACCAGAGUAGACCAAGAAGGUCAGGAACGGGCUGUAUUUGGUGAAGGACAUUUUUUCCUUUGGUCUCUCCUACCCCUUCACUGCCAGACUGAGCAGCAGAGGACAAUGCCAAAAGAUGUUAUAAGUAUUUGAAGUUUGCCCUUCAAACCAGGGGCUUCUCUGUUGUGAUUCUGAAUUCUCCUGAGCCCUUUUGUGGUAAAAUACAAGUAGCAUAAAAUUUGUCAUUUUAAUAAUUUUUAAGUAUAGUUCAGUGGUAUUAAACACACUCUCAUUGUUGUGCAAUCACCUCACCAUCCAACUCCAGAACUUUUUCAUCAUCUCCAGUGGAAACUCUAUACACAUUAAACUAUAACUCCCCAUUUCUCUGCCCCCAAAUCAGCCCCUGGCAGCCACCAUUCUACUCUCUGUGUCUGUGAGUUUAACUGCUCUAGGUACUCAUAUAAGUUAAAGCGUUAAGUACUUAUCUUUUUGUGACUGGCAUAUUUUACUUAGUAUAAAUCCUUUAGGUUCAUCCACAAUGUAGCAUGUAUCACAGUUUCCUUCCUUUUUAAGUCUGAAUGGUAUUCCAUUAUACAUAAAUGUUGCAUUUUGUUGAUACUUUCAUUGAUUGAUAGACAUUUGGGCUGCUUGCAACUCUUGGCUAUUGUAAAUAAAGCUGCUAUUAACAUAAGUAUACAAAAAUAUUUUCAAUUAUGAACCUCCCUGACAAUGAAGCCAAACCCGGGAGAACUUCUGGGAGUUCCCACAAAUCCCCCAGGGACCUUAACCAGGAAAGCCUCUGCUUUGCCCUUGAAGCUCCAAAAGAUCUAGCCACAUAAUCCUGUCCCUGGGGUCCUGGACAGUCAUUUGAUUGACAAAAAAUCUUUUGUCAGGACCAACCUCAGAAGCAGCAGCUCAAUUCAGCAUGCUCUGAUCUCCUUGAUGCUUAAAUCCUCUGACCUUCAGUUGAAGGUCAACUUAAGUUGACCUGAGGACCCAGCCUGGUGUCCAUGGUGAGAACUCUGGUUGCAGACAUUAAUCACUGCCCCUGGGAGAGACAUCAUGGUGAUGGACACUUGCCUGAUGUGGAACAGUCUUCUCUCUCUCCUGCCUGACUCAGAGAAACACCUGGAGGGGCAGAAAGGAGAGAGUGGGAGGGUACUGGGGGUAAUAAUGGAGAUAAAAGGCUGUGAUUUUCAGGGCAUUUUAAUUUUUUGCUUUAACUGAGGGGAUUAAAAGUAGACAAAAACUUGCACCUGCCAAGAAAGAAAGUCUGGGGUAAGUAUCCCAUGAUUUCAGCUUAAAUCA
Molecule: RNA transcript, 3466 nt
Organism: Marmota monax (woodchuck)
Lineage: Eukaryota; Metazoa; Chordata; Mammalia; Rodentia; Sciuridae
Gene: Cstl1
Gene name: cystatin like 1
Exons: 3
Source: RefSeq, a predicted model, not a curated record